Molecule: ribosomal RNA, 275 nt
Filed under: uncultured bacterium
Lineage: Bacteria
Description: partial 16S ribosomal RNA
Rfam family: Bacterial small subunit ribosomal RNA
Source: RNAcentral
CUCGGCCUACGGGGGGCAGCAGUAGGGAAUUUUCGUCAAUGGGCGCAAGCCUGAACGAGCAAUGCCGCGUGAACGAGGAAGGUCUUCGGAUCGUAAAGUUCUGUUGAAGGGGAAAAAGAGCGGAGAGAGGAAAUGGUCUCCGAUCGAUAUUACCCUUCGAGGAAGUCACGGCUAACUACGUGCCAGCAGCCGCGGUAAUACGUAGGUGGCAAGCGUUAUCCGGAAUUAUUGGGCGUAAAGGGUGCGUAGGCGGCCUGCUAAGUCUGGAGUGAAAG